UGGUUCUGGCAUCGAUGAAGAACGCAGCGAAAUGCGAUAAGUAAUGUGAAUUGCAGAAUUCAGUGAAUCAUCGAAUCUUUGAACGCACAUUGCACCCUCUGGUAUUCCGGGGGGUAUGCCUGUUCGAGCGUCAUUUCAACCCUCAAGCUCAGCUUGGUAUUGGGCAUCACCUGGAAGGGUGUGCCUUAAAAUCAGUGGCGGUGCCAUCUGGCUUCAAGCGUAGUAAAACUUUCGCUCUGGAGUUUGGGUGGUUGCCUGCCAUUAACCUCUAAUUUUUUCAGGUUGACCUCGGAUCAGGUAGGGAUACCCGCUGA
RNAcentral lists this unclassified non-coding RNA (314 nucleotides) under uncultured fungus. RNAcentral describes it as "partial contains 5.8S ribosomal RNA and internal transcribed spacer 2". The stretch from base 1 to 133 matches the Rfam family "5.8S ribosomal RNA", at positions 22 to 154 of the family's 154-position model. The record is from RNAcentral. Lineage: Eukaryota; Fungi.